AUACGGGGGGAGCAAGCGUUGUCCGGAAUCACUGGGCGUAAAGCGCGUGUAGGUGGGCCUGUAAGUCUGGGGUGAAAUGUCGGGGCUUAACCCCGAACCUGCCUCGGAAACUACAGGUCUUGAGUAUGGAAGAGGGAAGCGGAAUUCCAGGUGUAGCGGUGGAAUGCUUAGAUAUCUGGAAGAACACCGGUGGCGAAGGCGGCUUCCUGGCCCAUUACUGACACUCAGACGCGAAAGCGUGGGUAGCAAACAGGAUUAGAUACCCUGGUAGUCCACGCCCUAAACGAUGAUCACUAGGUGCUGGGAGAUUCGACCCUUUCAGUGCCGUAGCUAACGCGUUAAGUGAUCCGCCUGGGGAGUACGAUCGCAAGGUUGAA
RNAcentral lists this ribosomal RNA (377 nucleotides) under uncultured bacterium. RNAcentral describes it as "bacterial SSU rRNA". It matches the Rfam family "Bacterial small subunit ribosomal RNA", at positions 523 to 898 of the family's 1533-position model. The record is from RNAcentral.